UACGAAGGGGGCUAGCGUUGCUCGGAAUCACUGGGCGUAAAGGGUGCGUAGGCGGGUCUUUAAGUCAGGGGUGAAAUCCUGGAGCUCAACUCCAGAACUGCCUUUGAUACUGAGGAUCUUGAGUUCGGGAGAGGUGAGUGGAACUGCGAGUGUAGAGGUGAAAUUCGUAGAUAUUCGCAAGAACACCAGUGGCGAAGGCGGCUCACUGGCCCGUAACUGACGCUGAGGCACGAAGGCCAGGGGAGCAAACGGG
RNAcentral lists this ribosomal RNA (253 nucleotides) under uncultured bacterium. RNAcentral describes it as "partial 16S ribosomal RNA". It matches the Rfam family "Bacterial small subunit ribosomal RNA", at positions 524 to 776 of the family's 1533-position model. The record is from RNAcentral.